AAGCACUUGAUAUCGAUCGUUCCAUUUGUAGGGUAGCUAUGAGCUAUAUUGGUCCCUUAUCAGCGGUUCAGACAAAAUAGUAGCUUCUUGGGAAGAAAACAAUGUGCACAAAAUUUCAGAACAAUGUCUCAAAAUUAAGGCACUAUUCGAGUAUCUACAGAUAAACGGAUGGGCAUGGCUAUUUCGACUCAGUUCGUUGACCUAUAGUAGAUAGAUUGGCAAAUUGCGGCUUGUAUCACAUAUGGUCGCAAAUGUCUAGCAUCGUGAACAAUUUUCGGUGCCUGCUAGGCGCGACUGAGUUGAUGUGAUCCCUGUCCACGUAUAUGGAAUCUAGGGCCUUAAACCUGCUUUUGAAAAUUGCUAGGCAAUCCAGAAUCAGGUGUUCUGGAGUUUCCUUAUUCCAUAUCGCAGAAUCGGCAGUUUUUGCAAGAGACUAUGCCCAUGUUGGGCAAGUGUUUCCUGAGCCUGCAGUGCCCUAUAUAAAGCGCGACAAGGAGGCUGAAUUUGUCUCGGGGGAGGUUGAUCAUUUCCCUAAACCUUGCAAAAUUGUACCCUGCCCGCUGCCAAUGCUGCUUUCUACCCACUCUCUCCUCCGUGCGGAGCAGCUCAUUUAUAAUGUGGACCUCAAUGCUAUGCAUAAUUCUGGCAUCAUCAUCCUGAACGCUGCCGCAGAGCGGGCUAGUACGUCGGCAAGCUUAUUGCCGGCUACCUCGUUAUGCCCCGACACCCAGAUUACGUGUACCCGGUUGCACAUUGAUAGGCGGUUCAGCCUUCCUACACACUCCUCCACUAAAAGCGAUCUAACUUCAUACGCUGAGAUCGCCUUUAGUGCCGCUUGUGCCGUCAGUGUACCACUGAAUAGUGCUGCCCUUCAGUAGUAGGUCAAACGUGGAAUCGUUCUACUUCGCCUUACUGCCGAUAGUAACUCUGUACUUCUCUGUAAAGUUAACCCUCUUCGUGACGCCGUCCCUUGGGCUUUCAGCAUGGUAUGUUCUGAUUUAUGGUAUGUACGGCGUUUCCUUCUGGGUGUUAUAAACUUCGCGACGAUCUUAACGUGUGUAGGGUAUAAAAAUGUAGAAUUAAAAAUUUGUAUUAAAAUUUUACACAAAACUUCUUAAUAACUGCAUAUAAUAAUAUUCCCACUAUAUAAUAAUAAUGAUGAAGAAGUUUGUUCACCCCGAUUUCCCUGUUUAGUUUUCACUUUCUCUUCGUGUACUAAGCAGUUAGGCAGACUCCUUACGAGCCUCUGACCUUCAUAUUAGACUAACUGCUCUUUUGCUACUCUCUGCUGGUAACACGUUGCAAGCAAAAAGUAACAACCCAAAGACACAUCCACAACUUGCCGUUUGUCGCACUUUGAAUGAAAUAAAAAACGAAUAAAAUCGUGACUUAUUGCUGGUAGCUGCUAACUAAAAGUUAACGAGGAAAUUUUACCUAAAAAUUAAAAACAUAUUUGCAGCAGUACACCUUCCACACAGAGCAACGAUUGGGCCAUUUAAUUGGCUAUUGGGAGUAAUAAAGCAAAAU
This is a long non-coding RNA of Bactrocera tryoni, 1527 nucleotides long. RefSeq lists it as uncharacterized. The record is from RefSeq and is a predicted model, not a curated record. The transcript has 2 exons. Lineage: Eukaryota; Metazoa; Arthropoda; Insecta; Diptera; Tephritidae.